This 598-nucleotide ribosomal RNA is filed under the name uncultured bacterium. Its description in RNAcentral is "bacterial SSU rRNA". It matches the Rfam family "Bacterial small subunit ribosomal RNA", at positions 35 to 676 of the family's 1533-position model. The record is from RNAcentral.
GCUGGCGGCAGGUCCUAACACAUGCCAGUCGAACGCGUGCCUUCGGGCACGAGUGGCGGACGGGUGAGUAACGCGUGGGAAUUUGCCUUGGGGUACGGAAUAACCGCGGGAAACUGCGGCUAAUACCGUAUACGUCCUUCGGGAGAAAGAUUUAUCGCCCCAAGAUGAGCCCGCGUCCGAUUAGGUAGUUGGUGAGGUAACGGCUCACCAAGCCUUCGAUCGGUAGCUGGUCUGAGAGGAUGAUCAGCCACACUGGGACUGAGACACGGCCCAGACUCCUACGGGAGGCAGCAGUGGGGAAUAUUGGACAAUGGGGGAAACCCUGAUCCAGCCAUGCCGCGUGAGUGAAGAAGGCCUUAGGGUUGUAAAGCUCUUUCGGUGGUGACGAUGAUGACGGUAGCCACAGAAGAAGCCCCGGCUAACUCCGUGCCAGCAGCCGCGGUAAUACGGAGGGGGCAAGCGUUGUUCGGAAUUACUGGGCGUAAAGGGCGCGUAGGCGGAUGAUCAAGUCAGAGGUGAAAGCCCUGGGCUCAACCUAGGAGGUGCCUUUGAAACUGAUUGUCUUGAGUACGGGAGAGGAUAGCGGAAUUCCCAGUGU